GUCGGUGAUCAUACCGCGGGGGUCACACCCGUUCCCAUCCCGAACACGGCAGUUAAGCCCCGCCGGGCCGAUUGUACUGCACGGGAAACUGUGUGGGAGAGUAGGUCAUCGCCGGCA
RNAcentral lists this ribosomal RNA (117 nucleotides) under Acidobacteriota bacterium. RNAcentral also lists the same sequence under 1 other name. The record is from RNAcentral. Lineage: Bacteria; Pseudomonadati; Acidobacteriota.